RNAcentral lists this ribosomal RNA (918 nucleotides) under uncultured Bacillota bacterium. RNAcentral describes it as "bacterial SSU rRNA". It matches the Rfam family "Bacterial small subunit ribosomal RNA", at positions 8 to 918 of the family's 1533-position model. The record is from RNAcentral. Lineage: Bacteria; Bacillati; Bacillota.
AGAGUUUGAUUAUGGCUCAGAAGUGCGGCUGGCUAUACAUGCAAGUAGAACGCUGAAGGGAGGAGCUUGCUCUUCUUGGAUGAGUUGCGAACGGGUGAGUAACGCGUAGGUAACCUGCCUGGUAGCGGGGGAUAACUAUUGGAAACGAUAGCUAAUACCGCAUGAUAUUAAUUAUUGCAUGAUAAUUGAUUGAAAGAUGCAAUUGCAUCACUACCAGAUGGACCUGCGUUGUAUUAGCUAGUUGGUGAGGUAACGGCUCACCAAGGCGACGAUACAUAGCCGACCUGAGAGGGUGAUCGGCCACACUGGGACUGAGACACGGCCCAGACUCCUACGGGAGGCAGCAGUAGGGAAUCUUCGGCAAUGGGGGGAACCCUGACCGAGCAACGCCGCGUGAGUGAAGAAGGUUUUCGGAUCGUAAAGCUCUGUUGUAAGAGAAGAACGGGUGUGAGAGUGGAAAGUUCACACUGUGACGGUAUCUUACCAGAAAGGGACGGCUAACUACGUGCCGGCAGCCGCGGUAAUACGUAGGUCCCGAGCGUUGUCCGGAUUUAUUGGGCGUAAAGCGAGCGCAGGCGGUUAGAUAAGUCUGAAGUUAAAGGCUGUGGCUUAACCAUAGUAUGCUUUGGAAACUGUUUAACUUGAGUGCAGAAGGGGAGAGUGGAAUUCCAUGUGUAGCGGUGAAAUGCGUAGAUAUAUGGAGGAACACCGGUGGCGAAAGCGGCUCUCUGGUCUGUAACUGACGCUGAGGCUCGAAAGCGUGUGGAGCAAACAAGAUUAGAUACCCUGGUAGUCCACGCCGUAUACGAUGAGUGCUAGGUGUUAGGCCCUUUCCGGGCUUAGUGCCGCAGCUAACGCAUUAAGCACUCCGCCUGGCGAGUACGACCGCAAGGUUGAAACUUAAAUGAAUUGACGGGG